GGGUUGUGAGGUUAAGCGACUAAGCGUACACGGUGGAUGCCCUGGCAGUCAGAGGCGAUGAAGGACGUGCUAAUCUGCGAAAAGCGUCGGUAAGGUGAUAUGAACCGUUAUAACCGGCGAUGUCCGAAUGGGGAAACCCAGUGCAAUUCGUUGCACUAUCGUUAACUGAAUACAUAGGUUAACGAGGCGAACCGGGGGAACUGAAACAUCUAAGUACCCCGAGGAAAAGAAAUCAACCGAGAUUCCCCCAGUAGCGGCGAGCGAACGGGGAGCAGCCCAGAGUCUGAAUCAGCUUGUGUGUUAGUGGAACGGUCUGGAAAGUCCGACGGUACAGGGUGAUAGUCCCGUACACCAAAAUGCACAGGUUGUGAACUCGAAGAGUAGGGCGGGACACGUGGUAUCCUGUCUGAAUAUGGGGGGACCAUCCUCCAAGGCUAAAUACUCCUGACUGACCGAUAGUGAACCAGUACCGUGAGGGAAAGGCGAAAAGAACCCCGGCGAGGGGAGUGAAAAAGAACCUGAAACCGUGUACGUACAAGCAGUGGGAGCACCUUCGGGUGUGACUGCGUACCUUUUGUAUAAUGGGUCAGCGACUUAUAUUCUGUAGCAAGGUUAACCGUAUAGGGGAGCCGCAGGGAAACCGAGUCUUAACUGGGCGUUAAGUUGCAGGGUAUAGACCCGAAACCCGGUGAUCUAGCCAUGGGCAGGUUGAAGGUUGGGUAACACUAACUGGAGGACCGAACCGACUAAUGUUGAAAAAUUAGCGGAUGACUUGUGGCUGGGGGUGAAAGGCCAAUCAAACCGGGAGAUAGCUGGUUCUCCCCGAAAGCUAUUUAGGUAGCGCCUCGUGAACUCAUCUUCGGGGGUAGAGCACUGUUUCGGCUAGGGGGUCAUCCCGACUUACCAACCCGAUGCAAACUACGAAUACCGAAGAAUGUUAUCACGGGAGACACACGGCGGGUGCUAACGUCCGUCGUGAAGAGGGAAACAACCCAGACCGCCAGCUAAGGUCCCAAAGUCAUGGUUAAGUGGGAAACGAUGUGGGAAGGCACAGACAGCCAGGAUGUUGGCUUAGAAGCAGCCAUCAUUUAAAGAAAGCGUAAUAGCUCACUGGUCGAGUCGGCCUGCGCGGAAGAUGUAACGGGGCUAAACCAUGCACCGAAGCUGCGGCAGCGACACUAUGUGUUGUUGGGUAGGGGAGCGUUCUGUAAGCCUGCGAAGGUGUGCUGUGAGGCAUGCUGGAGGUAUCAGAAGUGCGAAUGCUGACAUAAGUAACGAUAAAGCGGGUGAAAAGCCCGCUCGCCGGAAGACCAAGGGUUCCUGUCCAACGUUAAUCGGGGCAGGGUGAGUCGACCCCUAAGGCGAGGCCGAAAGGCGUAGUCGAUGGGAAACAGGUUAAUAUUCCUGUACUUGGUGUUACUGCGAAGGGGGGACGGAGAAGGCUAUGUUAGCCGGGCGACGGUUGUCCCGGUUUAAGCAUGUAGGCUGGUUAUCCAGGCAAAUCCGGAUAAUCAAGGCUGAGGUGUGAUGACGAGGCACUACGGUGCUGAAGUAACAAAUGCCCUGCUUCCAGGAAAAGCCUCUAAGCAUCAGGUAACAUCAAAUCGUACCCCAAACCGACACAGGUGGUCAGGUAGAGAAUACCAAGGCGCUUGAGAGAACUCGGGUGAAGGAACUAGGCAAAAUGGUGCCGUAACUUCGGGAGAAGGCACGCUGGUGUGUAGGUGAAGUCCCUGCGGAUGGAGCUGAGACCAGUCGAAGAUACCAGCUGGCUGCAACUGUUUAUUAAAAACACAGCACUGUGCAAACACGAAAGUGGACGUAUACGGUGUGACGCCUGCCCGGUGCCGGAAGGUUAAUUGAUGGGGUUAUCCGUAAGGAGAAGCUCUUGAUCGAAGCCCCGGUAAACGGCGGCCGUAACUAUAACGGUCCUAAGGUAGCGAAAUUCCUUGUCGGGUAAGUUCCGACCUGCACGAAUGGCGUAAUGAUGGCCAGGCUGUCUCCACCCGAGACUCAGUGAAAUUGAACUCGCUGUGAAGAUGCAGUGUACCCGCGGCAAGACGGAAAGACCCCGUGAACCUUUACUAUAGCUUGACACUGAACAUUGAGCCUUGAUGUGUAGGAUAGGUGGGAGGCUUUGAAGCGUGGACGCCAGUCUGCGUGGAGCCAACCUUGAAAUACCACCCUUUAAUGUUUGAUGUUCUAACGUUGGCCCCUGACCGGGGUUGCGGACAGUGUCUGGUGGGUAGUUUGACUGGGGCGGUCUCCUCCCAAAGCGUAACGGAGGAGCACGAAGGUUAGCUAAUCCUGGUCGGACAUCAGGAGGUUAGUGCAAUGGCAUAAGCUAGCUUGACUGCGAGCGUGACGGCGCGAGCAGGUGCGAAAGCAGGUCAUAGUGAUCCGGUGGUUCUGAAUGGAAGGGCCAUCGCUCAACGGAUAAAAGGUACUCCGGGGAUAACAGGCUGAUACCGCCCAAGAGUUCAUAUCGACGGCGGUGUUUGGCACCUCGAUGUCGGCUCAUCACAUCCUGGGGCUGAAGUAGGUCCCAAGGGUAUGGCUGUUCGCCAUUUAAAGUGGUACGCGAGCUGGGUUUAGAACGUCGUGAGACAGUUCGGUCCCUAUCUGCCGUGGGCGCUGGAGAAUUGAGGGGGGCUGCUCCUAGUACGAGAGGACCGGAGUGGACGCAUCACUGGUGUUCGGGUUGUCAUGCCAAUGGCACUGCCCGGUAGCUAAAUGCGGAAGAGAUAAGUGCUGAAAGCAUCUAAGCACGAAACUUGCCCCGAGAUGAGUUCUCCCUGAGACUUUAAGUCUCCUGAAGGAACGUUAAAGACGAUGACGUUGAUAGGCCGGGUGUGUAAGCGCAGCGAUGCGUUGAGCUAACCGGUACUAAUGCU
This 2894-nucleotide ribosomal RNA is filed under the name Klebsiella pneumoniae. RNAcentral's name for it is "23S ribosomal RNA". It matches the Rfam family "Bacterial large subunit ribosomal RNA". Lineage: Bacteria; Pseudomonadati; Pseudomonadota; Gammaproteobacteria; Enterobacterales; Enterobacteriaceae. The record is from RNAcentral.